ACUCAUCGGAUUUUAUUGUAUUAAGGAAAACAGCUAUGCCCAUAUAAGGCUUGUGGCUGAUUUGAUUGACAGCUCUGCACGCUGCAUCUGUCUGUCAGUUCAGGAGGCUAGCAGCUUGGUCCGUCUGAUUUCUCUUCUUUUUUCUUCGUUUGGAGAGUUUGUUUAACACAUAUCUGACAACAUACAUGGCUUGCUGUGCGGUUAACAGACCAUCCAAGAAGUUGAUGCUUCAGUUUUUUUUCGACCCCUCACUAAAAGUCCAUAUUCUCCUGGAUCCAUGUCACAUGCUCGAGCUUCUUCAGAAUGACUUUUCAACAGUCGAAGUUCUGGUGAGAGAAGAUGGCCAGCAGAUAAGACGGCAGUACAUCAACGAGCUCCACAGGCUUCAGGAGGAGGAGGAGGGUUUGUACCUUGGAAGACUGUAUUCAUGCUUCAGCUGUUCAAAUAAAAAUAGAUCUCCUCCAAACAACUUGCAAUCAAACUAUUUUCUUCCUAUUUUAAAACCCUUUGUCCAGUUUAGAUGGGAGAAGUUGAUAUUAUGUGAUAUUGAUCUGGGAAGACUACAUUUCUAAAUAAUUUUUAACUGUGUUUUUAUUCACAAGUUAUUGAUCUUAUUUACUCUCCAUGUAUCCUGAUUUAAGAAUGGGGCUGUGUUUAAGGGCAUAUUUUGCAAUGACUCUUUUCCAUCCCACUUUCAGAAAUGAACUACAUUAGUAUUUGGUAAAAAAAAAUGUCAAAAGAAUAAAAAGUUGUGUAAAAGUA
Long non-coding RNA from Labrus mixtus (cuckoo wrasse), 762 nucleotides. RefSeq lists it as uncharacterized. The record is from RefSeq and is a predicted model, not a curated record. The transcript has 2 exons. Lineage: Eukaryota; Metazoa; Chordata; Actinopteri; Labriformes; Labridae.